UCAUUUGCGACUAUUAAGUCAAAACUGUCGCAAUGUCUCUUUUUUCAAAAUUUAGCAACGGUGUAUGCGACAGUUUUGGCAACCGUUGCAACUUUUGGAUCUAAAACCAAAUUUUAAGUUAGCGCUAAGUGAAUUUGUGUGAACUCUUUCACUCACUCAGAUAAACUGAAAUCCCUCUUCACUUUUUGUUAUAAACAAAAAAAAAGAAAAAACCUCAAAUCCCUAAAAUCAUUUUCCAAAUCUCUCGAAUCAACGAAGAAGCUUCUCCUAUUUUACAAAUCACUCUCCAAAUUGUGUUCCCCUUCAUCGUUCCUAUUAACGAAGCUUAAUCUUCUAUCUCUAGAAAGCUUCAUCGUUCGGUUUCUCUUCUAGUUUCGCUGUCUCAUUAUGUCUUCGACAACGAGGCUUCUCUUUCACCACUCAGUUCCCGCCGCACACCCGUCAGUCACGUCGAUCUCCGCCGACACACCCUCCAAAGUUUAGACGUUCAGGGGAAAUAAGGGAUUGAGGCACACCACUUCUCAAUUAAUAUUGUUCCUAGCAACUUCAGAAUUUGGAGAAAAAAUGAGGCAGAUUCUUGUAACAAUGUCUAGUGGAAGUUUCUUGUCACAACUUCAGAAAUGAAGGAGACCGAAAAAUUCUAGCAAUAUCCAACUCACCUUGGAACUCACAAAGUGCCUUAGUGGUAAAAUUUCAAUGUUGAUCUUUCCAGAUAAUGAUUGGAUUAAACUAAAGAUAGAAGCAUUUCUCAUUUUGCGCAACCAAUUUCUCAAGUUUGCUGCCAAUUUUUAACUCUGCUGCUGAUUUUGUAACUCUGCUGCCGUUUUCGUAAUUGAAUAAGAAGAAUCAAGAGAUGAUUAUGGAUCAUGAAGCAACAUAACAUACUAGGGAUUAAUUUUUUUUCCUUUUAGAGUUUCAAGUUAUUUAAUUAAAUUUU
This is a long non-coding RNA of Trifolium pratense (red clover), 937 nucleotides long. RefSeq lists it as uncharacterized. The transcript has 4 exons. The record is from RefSeq and is a predicted model, not a curated record. NCBI's taxonomy places the organism in Eukaryota, Viridiplantae, Streptophyta, Magnoliopsida, Fabales, Fabaceae.